UUUCCCCUAUAAUUCAUUCAGAAUUCAAAUGUUUGGACGAUACCGCUUAUCGUUCGGACUGCAUCACCAUUUCCUACUCGGGCCAGCUAUUUUUAUGUGUGGGGAAAUUUAUUAUCAGCUUGCCGCCGUCGCCGCCGCCGUUUGAUUGCCAACCGUGCAACCUACGACUGACGACGACAAUGCUGAUGGACGCGUGGCGGUAAAAUCUAGAUUGACGGAGGGGAUUGAUUUUUGUGGCUUUUGGCCGCCUUCUGAUAUGGUUGGACCGUGAUGGGCAAAUAAAAUGCUUCGCAGCUUUGUGAGGGAACUUUGGUCGCGUAAACGUUUGGAGGGUUGGAAAUGAAGAAGAACAUAUUGAGUCUUUUUUUUUAUGAAACUUAAGUAACGAGCUUUGCCAAGAAAGUGCAGAAUAAUCAUGAAAAGUAAUAGUUUGAUGUGAAAUUAUAUAAGGCAUCUUCCUUCGAGAAUUGUUUGUUUCUUCGAAACACUUACAAAAUUUCCCCAACAAGUUUAGUCUGAUUGCGCGGUAAAUAUUCCAAUAAUUCUUAUCAUUGAAGGUUAAUAAAUCCAGCGUUUCAUGAACGUGCUUUGUUUAAUCGUAUAUAACCAUUGAAUAACCAUAUAUGCUAUGGUUAACGAUUAAAUUCGCAGUAACAUGUUUAUGUUCUCGAAUAAAAAUUUCCAUACUAAUACAACACAUAACAAUAAUACUUCAACGAUUAUAUCGUAUAGAAAACUCAAACAAUAUCAAAACAGUAAAAUGUAUGGUUUCACAUUUCUUCGAAAUAAAUUAGAUUUUAUAUUGUUAUCAUACGUAACAGUCUAUUCGUUACUUUAAUCUAUUAAUAUUCAUUUACGACACAUCGUAUGGUGAGUAACCAUAAACUAUACUGUUAAUUUAUUGUUUAUUGUGUGGUAGCCACAAUAAACUGUAUUGUAAUGUUACAAUUCAAUAUAUUGUACUCAUGUUGGUUGUUUCCUCGACUUUGGCAGACAAUAAUGCAGAAACUCUCAUGACGAAGAAAAUCCUCUGAUCCCUAAUUAAAAUGAUUUACUUUCGAGCUCAGCAACUCUUGCAAGCGGGAGGGCAAAAAAACACUUGUGUUUACCACCAACGGAAUUUAUCUCUUGUUUGCUCUACGUACUCUCCCACCAAGCAGUUAAUUUGCAAAACAGCAGCCCCACAUCGCAUCCUCUCACAUGAGAAUGGAAAAGAUUGCCUUUUCGGCAUAACUUACCAUCCUGCUUAUAUCGGAUGAAAGUGCUGAUCCCCCACAAUCAAAUAGAAUAAAGAAGGCCAACAACAGAAAGGUAGGUAAAUUCUUUGCUCAGGUAACUCCAGUUCGGAGUUUAUGUUGUCUGAACCAGCCGAACAACUGUGUACGAAAACGUGAUUCGAAUUUUAUUGGAAUUGUUGUUCACUUCGAACUUCGGAACUUUCCGAUUGAUUUCUAUCACGUUUGAUCCAGGGAUUUUCCUCAACAAGAAAGGGUUCUUUAAUGAAGUCUACACUUUUCUUGUUGUCUGAAGAUAACAUUAUGUCAUGAUGAUGAUGAAAAUGGGAUAAUUUCCAGAAAGAAAGCAUACUUGGAGUAACAAUGUAAUAACAAAGAAUUAUAUUGUUAUUGUUUACAACAAUACUUUCUAUUAUACGAAAAGUUCGACCACUUUAAAAAUGGUAUGGUAUGGUUUGUGUUUCAGAUUUGUUCGAGAAAAUAUCCAUAUGUGUCUAUAUUGUUGCGAGCGAUACAUAACAAUCUACCUGACUGAUACACUGUAUGAUGCAUAACCAUUAGUUAUAUAGUUUUUUUUAUUGUCUAUUAUAUAAUAGCCCACGUAAUAGCCACAAUAUACUGUAUCGUAAUUCUACAAAACAAUGUAUUCUAUUUUCAUUGGAUUCUUAUAAUCAGGAAUGGGGCCAUAUUAGGCCUCGAUCUUCAACUGAUGUUUUUAAUGCGGGAGGUAUCCUGACUGGAUUCCAGUAAUAGUCCUAGUCGUUCGGCAAUCCAGUCUAGAUUCUAGAGAAAAACAUGUUUGGUUUUCAAAAGUAAUCCUAUUCUUGAAGCAAUCCUGACUGGAGUCUCGGGGGAAUUCUGUCUAAUUUCCCGAGGCAUCUUGACUGGGUUUGAGGAGGAGUCCUGCCGGCAGUUCAGAAGAAAUCUGUCUGGAUUACAGGAAAAAAAUCAGUUUGGUUUCCAGGCAAAACUCUUCUUGGAUUCCCGAAAGAAUCCUUUCAAUUGCUUUGUUCAGGAAUCAUUUGAUCACUUCUCUAGGACUUUCUAGAUUCCGGUGAGAAAUUUUAUCGAGUAGCUUUUUGUAAUAUCAUUAAAAUCUUAAAAUCCAUUAUAUUAAACGACUUAGGGCCUCUGCUGGGGCUCUCUUCAAAAAUCUCUUUAGAUCAUUUUCAGAAAUCUAGAUGCCUUUAAGAAAUUUCACCAAAUUCCCUGAAGUGACUAGAACCUUUUAGGAAUCUUUUGAUAUGCACCUCAGAAAUGUACAUAAUGUUUGAAGAAAAUUCCGGCGAAAAUCUGAGAAUUUUUAUUCGACAAAAUUAUCCCAUCAUUUUUUUCAGAAAUGAUUUUGAAUUCUCUUGCAUUUUUUUUAGACUUUUUUGGGAUCGAAUUUUUGUUUUCGAACAGGAAUGUGUACUUUUGUCAUCUGGAAUGCCUCAAUUGCCCAAACUCUCUUCAGUAAUUAUUUUCGUUUUCAAUUUAGGAAUUUGCUUAGGUUGAUAUUCUGAUAUUUUUUCCCGGGCUUAAAUUUUAUAUAUUUUUAAUGGCCGGAAAAAAAACUAUCAGAAUAUAAACCUAAGCAAUUGUAAACUACACCUUCACCAUCUACCCACAAAUAGCCAACACAAGCUUAAAUUCACCAAACCCGACAGCCCUACCCGAAUAAAAAAUACAGUAGAAAAACCGAAUGUUGUAUUGUAACAGUACUAUUUAGAACCAUAUUGUUACAAUAAACACCACUGUAAAAAUAAAAAAUACAAAAACAAUAAGAUGUAAUGUUAGACACCAUACAGUGAAUUGUAAAUGAGAUUUUUACAAUAUACUAUACGGAUUGUUAAGUAUCGUAACAAUAUAAAAAAAUAUUUUUCUCCAUAUAUAUUUUUUUACAAAACCAUACAUUUUAUUGUAAAUGAAUUGUUCGAAAUAUUGAUACGUGGGCUUUAAUAUACCGUACAUUGUAUGGUACACGUAUGGUUUCAAACAAUAAAAUGUACCGUAAAUAUAUUGUUUUUAAUUGUAAUUUCACUUCUGGUAAUAAAUUUAAUCAUGGUUUUGGAAUGGUUCUCUUUUGUUAUGUUGUAUUGUUUUACAUUAGAUAAACCAUAUAAUGUUAUAUUAUCUCGUCAUGUUCCUUCGAUAUUGGCAGUUCUAGCCAAACUAACCUAAACUCGUCUAAGUCUGAGUAGCCUCUGAUUGCAUUAACAGUUGAAGCUUAAGCUCCCAUGUCCCACCAGCCAGAUAGCCGGGUUUUGCAAACUAAGCAUUAUUUGUGGCAACACUUUGAGCGGCAUGAUGGAACUAUGCCUAGCGCGCUAAGUGUUAUUAGACCACUAAUGUAGUUGCAUGAAGUGGGUGACGAGGUACAUAAGUAUCAUUACAGCGUGCUUAACCAUUAUUGCAAUAUUGAGGCUCCAAUUUGACUGAACUAUGAAAUGUGUACAUAACAACUCAUGAGAAAACUGUCAAGUUCGAUUCAACUAUAAGUUAGGUUAAAAAGCGAAGACGAACUUAUAUCAGAAGUCGUUUCAGUGUCCAGUCCAGUCCUUAUGUUAAAAAUGGCUCUACGUCAAAGAUAAAUCGCAUUUAAUUCGGUUGUGGUACAAGGCAAGUUCACAUGAGAGAAGGGGAGAAAACUCCCCUAAAUGCAAAUACAGAAAGAAUAGUGUUGAACUCAUCCACUGAUUUACGGUAAUCUGGCCUGCGUCUUUCCGGGUUGACCUACAUUCGUAUUCCUCUCAUCGCACUCUACAUACCUAGCCCGCCAUAUCUCUUGUAUCUGCGAUUCUUAAGACAUCUGGUUUACUACUUAUUUAAACAUUUUAUUGACUUUAAAUUGAUGUUUCAACUUUUUCACUUUUUCUCUUUCAUUUCCUUUGCAACAAAAACGUCACGAGCAUCAACAAAACAAAGCACGGAAAAAAUCUAAAACUGAAUAAUUUUAAAUGCACGGAAAAAGAUUGUUUCGGAGUAGUGAAUGGUUCAAACGUAAGAAAAACAGUAUAAUAUAUUGUUACAUAAAGAUCGGAUGUAAAUGUAUAGUAGCUACAAUGUGCACUGCUUUUAGCGAACCAUUCCAUUACAAUACACUAUAUUGUAGCUGGUACACUGUAUGGUACAGGAAUGGUUUUCACCAAAUACCCUAUGGUUAGUUUUUAUCCGGGCAGAGCAGUAGUCUACUACCAUAGAACUACCAUUACCUUUAUGGUAAAAAGUUACAUUUCCCUUUGCAACAAAGGUAAAACUUUAGUCAUUAGACAUACUCAAUGGAAUCAUUUGACGUCCUCUUCAAUGGUUAUUGUAUCAUUUUGGUCAUUACAGUAAUGGUUAUUCAAUGGUUUUCUAACAGUUAUCGUAUGAUAUUUGAUUUCCAAACUAUUGUACUUAGCGUGUCAACCUGGAUUCGUUCCAUGUUUAUCCGUCGUACAUAUCUUGUUCCCGACGAACACCGGGGCAACUUUCUGAUCUUUUCGCGACGAAAACACGCGACUCUUCACUUGAGCCAUCGUGCUCUUCAUUAUUUGUUUCAGCGAAUCAAAUAGUUUACCCGUAAGUUAGACAAAGCCUAGAAUGUUGAUUCACAGGGCUGGAUAUGAUUCUGAAAUCUGAUUCUUGUUAAUGUGCCAGCUUUAUAAAACAUUUUUAUAUUCGAUGAGCCACUAAGCUCAGAAUCGGAUCUGAGGCUGUCGUCAUAGUUCUUGGCGGUGUGUGUCUCACCCCACUCCAACGAAGGGCUUCGUUGGGGGUACAAAACUGUUCAAAAUUCAGAAUUCUCUUGACCGAAGAACGUUCAGCCUUACUCUUUCCGUGAGCCAUUGUGCUCUUCAUUUUUAUUAAACGAAUCGAAGAGUUCACCUGCAGCUCGAACAAAUUCCAGAAGACUGAUUCGCAGUGCUGGGGAUUUUUGUUAAAUUGUCAGCUCUAUCGAACAUCGUUCGGUUCACUGAGCCCCUAAGCUCACAGCCGGUUCCGAAACUCCCUUUUUAGUUCUUGGCAGUGAUCUCAUCCCAAUCUAACAAAUGGUUCCACUGUGGAACAACAUUUUUCUAAUGUCUAAGGUGUUCGUAACGGUAGUUGUAAAAUUGAAAUGGUUAAUUCUUACCAACCCCAACUCACUGCUUACUGCUUGUUGAGCUAUCAUAGCUCUCAAGCACUUUAAAGUAUCACUGAUGAGCACUUUAGUUGGUGAUGGAUACAGUAAAUUUUGACGAAAAAUUUCGUAGCAAUGCAUUGAAUAGCGUAUGAGACACGUGUAUUGAAGUGUUGAUGAGCCAUUCAAGCUCCCCCGAUCAUUUCACACUAUUUAGUCUUGAUCCAUAGGGAAAUACACUUCAUGAUACAUAACAAUUCACUGCUCAUUCCAUUUUCGGGACGUGACAAGUGAGCUAUUUAGCUCCACGUUUAUGACAAUGAGGAGCCAUUUAGCUCACGAAUUAAACUUAAUCUAAUAGAACUCAUCCCUCGCUGAUAUUGUUAGAGUUUCUGCUGAAAUGUUGGUACCGACGUUCAUAUGGUCACUGUACUGGUUAGGGGCACGUAGACCAUAUUCUGGAAAUUUUGGACACCCCCAAUAAAUGUUCUCGCUAUAUGAGCAAUUUAGCAAUCUCCUCGAGUUUGAUACGUACUCAAUGCUCUAGAUGACUCUGACCAUACGCUCUAUAAAAAUCGAUCGACAUUAUGGACAGAUUACUCUGAAAAACUGUAAUGUAACUGUGAUGUUCCAAGAUCACUAUCACUAUACUAUAUCUGAUCAAAUCAUAUACUUAGAACUGAUUGUUGAGUCAUCGAAGCUCCUAAAAGUUCUGCUUGAACUUUAAAUUGCAUCAAACUUCUCUGCUUGAUCCAGUAAUGAAUUAUGGCAGAGGAAAAGAUGAUCUCAUAAACGAAGUGAGCCAUUUGGCUCUUAGGUGAGGAAAACUCCCAGUGUUACUCUUUUCACGUGUUAUGAAGCAGUGGAUAUCCACAGGAACUUUUUGAUAUUUGGAACUCUCUGAGCCAAAUAGCUCCAACUUUAUUACACACCUCAAUUGAACAGAAAUGUUUUCAAUUAAACGCUAAUUAUGCUUCCAUUAGGAUUAGAUCUUUCUCAAGACCAUGACGCUGUAAGCGUUCAUAUUGCUGCCGAUUGGUAUAAGUUCCGGAAUUCGCAAGAGCCAUGUGGCUCUUAUUUUAGUGGCGGCGUUUUUCAUACACUCCACUAAGUUUGAAAAAUAAAUAGGUACCGAUUGUAUAAUCUUUCAAGUACCAAAGGAUUGUGAGCCAGGCAGCUCCUCCAAUUUCUUGUGAUGAUGUUUAUCAAUUCACAAAAAAAAAAACGUUAUAGCGAAGCUUGGCAGGAUCUUCUGCACGGUCAUAAAGCUCCAUUGAAUGUUCAUGUCGUCACAGAUCGAACAAUGCUUCAAAAUUCCUAAAAAAGAGUACCACGAAAAUAGGAGCCACAGAGCUCAAUCCAAUUUUCGUGGUACUCUUUUUUAAUCAAUUCAACGAAAUGCUGCAUUUCACAGUGCUCUAGUGAAUCAUCUAUAAACUUAUUGUACAGCCUUUCGAGCUGUAUUACGUUCUGAGCUAUGUGGCUCCCAUUUUUGGUAAAACUCUUCGUCAUUUUAACCCAACGAAAAUCAAUUCUGUAGGUAAAUUUAACAAUUAUUUAGCAGAAAAGAUCUUCUGGUUUUCUUGUGGUAAUGUUGUGGCUAUGUGACUGCAAUUUAGUGGUUUUGUAUGCUAGUGACCAUUCGAGCUCGAGAUAUCUCUAAACCAUGUAUCCCCCAUUUUGUGGUGUUUUUUUUUACAAUCCACCAUAAGCUUCGGAGCAUUAGAGAUCUCUUACUCACAUACAACCGGGUUUUGAGCUAUUGACGUUAAUUUUGCCUAGUAAGGAGUUUCGUUAGAUCUUUUCCAAGAUCAUAAUGCUGUAUUGCUGCUAAUUGCGCAUGUUGUUGAUGGUUGAUUCAAGAUCUGGAGCUCUCAGGAGCCAUGUGACUCUUGUUUAUGUGGUAUUAUUUUUCUUACACUCCCACCAAACUUGCGAGAUACAUUGACACUGAUUGCAUAGCCUCUUGGGCAUCAGAAGAUUGUGAGCCAUCUAGCUCCUUCCAUUUUUGUGGUGGUUUUUAUCAAUCAUACAAAACAAAUGUAAAAGCGAAAAUAGGCAGGAUCUGUUGCACGAUCGCAAUGCUCUAGUAAAUGUUCAUGUCGCCGCAGAUUGACCCAUUUUUCGAGCUUUCUGUCUGUUGAGCCCUGUGGCUCCCAUUUCCAUGGUGUUUUUUUUAAUCAAUUCAACAAAAUUCCACUUUUCGCAGUGCUCUAGAGGAUCAUGUAUCAACUUAUAGUGCAGGAAGAUCUCGACAGAAGUAACUUCAAAUAUUAAUUCAGAGAAUUCAGGGAUGCCUCCUAGAGAUACAUCAGAGAUUCAUCCAGAAGAAGAUCCUUCAGGGAUUCUCAUAAGAGGUCCUUCACAGAUUAGUCUGAGAGUUCUUCCAUGGAUUCCUUCAGAAGUUCCUUCAGGAAUUCCUACAGGAAUUUCUUUGGGAACUAGUCCAGCAGUUUCCUCAGAGAUUCCUCCAGGAGAUCCUUCAGAAAUUCCUGGAAUUUGUUCAAGAAUCCCUCCUGAAUUACUUGGAAUUACUUCGGGAUGCCUCAAGAAUUUUUUCAGAGAAUGUUUCAAGAGUUCUUUCAAGGAUUGCUCUAGAAGUUCCUUCGGUGAUCUCUCAGGGAUCUCCCUAUUAGCUCCAGGAGGAUUCAGGGAUGCCUCCAGGUGUUUAUGAGGAAUUACAUCAGAAGUUCCCUAAGCUAUCACAACGGGAGUUCGUUCAUGUAUCCUUCCAGAAGUCCCUUUAAAGAUUCUUUUAGGAGGAUUCAUAAAUGCCACCUGGAGAUCCAUCAAGAAUCCCGUGAGAAGUUUCUUCAGGAAUUCCUGCAGGAGGUCUUAAGAAAUUAGUCUAGGGGUUUCUGCAGGGAUUCCUUCUGAAGUAUCUUUAGAAAUUCCAGCAGGAGUUCUUUCCAGGAAUUCCAUCAGAGAUUCCUCCAAGAGUUUCAGGGAUUAUUGCAGAUGUUUUUUCAGAGAUUCCUCCUGAAUUUCUUCAGGGAUCCUACAAAAGUUCCAUCAGAGAAUCUUAUACGAGGAUCCAAUAAUACCUCCAGGGGAAUUCAUGGAUUACCCCAGAAGUAUAUUCAAGGAUUCCUAUAUAAGAGCUCCUUCGCAGAUUUCUUCAGGAUUGCUCGAGAAGUUCCUUUAGGAGUUCUUCCAGGGAUCGCUGAAUCUGAAAGCUCCCCAUCAGAUUGUAGAUUGAGGUUGAGAUUUUCCAGGAAGACUAACGGAUGCCUCCAGGAGUUACAUCAGAAGCUCAUUCGGGAAUUCUUACAGGAGUUGCUUCAGGGAAUCUUGUAGGAGUUCCUGCAAUAAUUCCUUUAGGAUUAUAACCAGGCAUAGCUCCAGGAUAUUCUUGAGGGAUCUUUCAUGGAGUUUCUACAGGAAUUCCUCAAGGAUUUCCUUGUUGAAAAUCCUUCGUGGAUUCCGCCUGGAAAUCCUUUGGAUAUUGCUACCGGAAUUCUUUUGAACAAUAUCCUGGAAUCACUGCACGGAUUCCUCCUGAAAUUCUUUCGGGGGUUCCUUCUAAUAUUCCGUCGAAUUUCUUUGGUGAUUCCUCUUCGAAUUCUGUCGGAGAUUCCACCUGGAUCCCUCAUGGGAUUCUUCUAGGGAUUGCUCUUGCAUUUCAUUUAGGGAUUUCUCUUGGACUUCUUUCGGGGAUUUAUCCUAGAAUUCAUUCUGGAAUGUCUCCUGGAAUUCCUUCGAUCAUUCCUCCUGGACAUCCUUCAUGAAUUCCUCCUGAAAUUUCUUCGGGGUUUCCUCCUGGAAUUUCUUUGAUGAAUUUCUUCGGAGAAUACUCCUGGAUUGGUUCAGGGAUUCCUCAUAGAAUUCCUUCUGGAGUCCUUCUGGAAUUUCUUUGGGGUUUUCUUCUGGAAUUGCUUCACUGAUUUCUCCUAGAAUUCCUUCGGGGAUUCCUCCUGGAAUUCCUACGGAGAUUUUUCCUGAACCUCCUAUGGGGAUUCCUCUUAAAAAUCCUUCUAGUAAUCCGCUUGAAAAUUCUUCGGAAAUGCCUCCCAGAUUUCCUGCAGGGGUUCCCCCUGGGAUUCCUGCAGGGAUUUCUCCUGUAAUUUCUUCGGGAGUUCCUCCUGGAAUUCCAUCAGGAAUUCUUCCAGUGAUUCCGUCGGGUAUUCCUGCUGGACUUCCUUCAGGAAUUUCUCCUGGACAUCCUUCGGGGAUUUCCCCUGGAAUUAAUUCGAAUAUUCCUCCUUAAAACCCUUCGGGGAUUCCUACUAGAGUUCCUUCGGGGAUUUUUCCAGGAAUUCUUUCGGAGAUUCCUCCUGAACUUUCUUCGAGGAUUCCUCCUGAAAUUUCUGCGGGAAUUCCUCUUAUAAUUUCUUCGGAGAUUUUUCCAGCAAUUCUUUCGGGUAUUCCUAUUGGAAUUCCUGCGGGAACUAUUCCUAGAAUUAUUUCAGGGGUUUCUCAUGGAAUUCCUAUGAGGGUUCAUACGAUGAUUCCUCCUGGAUAUUUUGCGAUGAUUCCUCCUAGAAAUAAUUUGAGGAUUGAUUCUCGAAUAUUUUCAAAAAAAAUCUGGAAUUUCAUUGGGGAUUCCUCUUGGAAUUCCUUCAUCAACUCCUCCUGGGAUUUUUCGGGGAUUCCUCUAGAUAUUCCGUCGUGGAUUCCUCUCGGAAUUCCUUCGGGGUAUCCUCCUGAAAUUCUUUAGAUUUCUUUCGGAGAUUCCUCCUGAAAUUCCUUCAAAAAUUCCUCCUGGAAUUUUUUCGGGAUUUCCUUCUUGAAUUUCUUCAGUAAUUUCUCCUAGAAUUCCUUCAGAAAUUUUUCCUGGUAUUCGAAGACUCUUCCUAGAGUUCCUUCGAGGAAUCCUUCUUGAAUUUCUUUGGAGAUUCCUCCUGGACUGCCUAUGGGGAUUCUUCUUAGAAUUCCUUCGGUGGUCCACUUUGAAGAAUCCGAUUGUAAUACCAUCGAAGAUUCCUCCGGAAUUCCUUCGGAGGAGGUGCCCUCUCGGAUUCCUGCAAGGAUUUUUCCUGUAAUUUCUUCGGGGAUUCUUUCAAGGGUUCCUCCUAAAACUCAUUCGGGGAUUCCUCCUGAUAUUUUGUCGGGGAUUACUCCUGGAAUUCCUUCGGGAUUUCCCCGUGGAAUUCUUUUGGUGAUGUCUCUUCAAAUUUCUUCGGAGAUUCCUCCUGGAAUUCUUUUGGUAGUCCUCCUAGAAUUCCUGCAAGGUUUCCUUCUAAAAUUCCUUCGGUGAUUAUCCCUAGAAUUGCUUCGAGAAGUUCGCUUGAAAUUUCAUCGGGGAUUUCUCUUGGAAUUCCCUUGGAGAUUCCUCCUAGAGUAAUUUUGAGGAUUUCUCGUAGAAUUCCUUCGGGGGUUUCUCGAGGGAUUCUACCUUCGAGGAUUCUUCCUAAAAUUCCUUCGGAAAUUUCUCCUGAUAUUUCGUCAGGGAUUAACCUUAGGGACUCCCUCUUAGUGUUGGUAUCCCUCUUAGAUUCCUUUUAGAAUUCCUUCGGGGAUCCCUCACGGAUUUCCUGCGGGAAUUCCUCUUAGAAUUCCUCUGAGGAUUCUUUCUAGAAUUGCUUCGGAGUUUCCUGCUGGAAUACCUUUUGAGAUACCUCCUGGAAUUUUUUUGAGGAUUCCUCAUGGAAGUCUUUCGAAAAUUCCUCCUAGUAUUCUCUCAGGAAUUUCUCCUGGAACUCCUUCAGAGAUUCCUUCUCACUAUUUUUUAUUGAUUCCUCCUAGAUAUCCGUUGGGGAUUCCUUCUCGAAUUUCUUUAAUUUCCUUGGGACUCCUGCUUGAAUUAAUUUGGGGAAUCCUCCUGGAUUUCCUUCUGAAAUUGCUCGAAAACUUCAAUCAGAGAUUUCUUUAGAAUUUUCUGCAGGGAUCUCUAAAAGCGGUUCUUGAACCACCAGAGAUUCCCGCAGAAGUUCUUCAGGGUUUCAAACAGCAGUUCCUGCUGUCCAGAAUUUUCUUCAUGGAUUCCUUCAGGAGUUUCUUUCAGGCUCCUCCUAGGAUUCCUUCUGAGAUUCCUCCCUGAAAUUAUUCGGGGAUUACUUAGUGUAAAUAGUGUGACCUAAUUAUCAAGUUCAAUUACUUCUGAAGGUUCUGAGAAAACCAAACAAAAACUGUAGCAAAAUCAAUAUUUUAUUGCCCUUCAUUUGCAAUGGAGUAUUCAACAUGCAUUACAUUAAGGAUACCGGUAAUGUCUCUAUAUUUCUUUACAAUUAUAAAUAUUUGUUAUCGCUAACCUCGAAACAGCUGCGAAUACUUCGGCCCUCCAAACUUAUAUAGUAUUAACAGAUUUUUAGCUUGAAGGUGAGUUCAAUGAACGUUUAUAUAGCUCUUCUCUUUCAAAGAGCUGUCUAGCUCUUUUAUUUAUUUAGCUGCAGGGUUAACCCAGUUGUGGCUCGAUGAUACUAUCAGUAUUCACUUGUUAUUCUAAGGAGAUGUUGUACUUCAUGUUCUCUGUAGGCCGUGCUCGCACUGAGCUGUUGUAGCUCCUAGGAGUUCUGUAUCCAUAUCAUUUCAAGAGCUGUUAAAACUCUUGCGUCAUUUCGAUUUAUUUUAGGUGUUGUUGUCAAACUUCUUGUCGUAAUAGGUUUCUGAUUUCAUGCAAAGUUCAUAGAUGUAUAUAAGUGGCCGACGAUCCAUCCCUCUCUCAUUGCUUGUUAAGAGCUGUUACAGCACCUGUGCGCUCUGCGUUACUUGAAAUCCUCUCGUUAAUUGAACAACUUUGCUCUCGGCCAAGUGGCAGUCUGGUUUCCAACGAUGUUCCCUACUAGAUUCGUCUGAAUGUUUUGCAGCUAUGGAGAUUUUACCUGAUUGGUUUAUUGUUGGAUUUCAGAGAGCUAUAGAGCUCUUCUGUUUUUUAAGUGCAGGAAUAGCCCAGCUGUGGUUUGAUGAAACGUUUUGUAUUAACUAGCCUUUCUAAGAAGAUGUUGUGCUUCAUUAUCUUUGUAUAUGCCUGCUCGCACUGAGCUGUUAGAGCUCUUAAGAGUUCCAUAUCAAUUCAUCCCAAAUUCAUUUCAUGAGCUCUCAAACCUCUUCGUUGGCCUGGAUGGAUUUGAUGUUCAAAAUACGGUAAAAGUUCACCACGCAGAGCUAUAAAAGCUCCCGAACAUUCUGCGACGGCCAGCCUCAUUUUAAGAGCUACUAAAGCUCUCCACGACUCUUGAAACUUUUUGCGCUGAAAAUCAAUAGCGAAAUGAGCCAUUUAGCUCUUACAUUUCUUACAAACCGUAGGAAUUCUGUCGCAGUUACUCGAUCGAGUUUUUUCUUGGCGCUGCGAGUGCUGUGUGGAUUCAUCACUCGCUCAUUGCUUGUUGAGAGCUAUUACAACUCCUGGGCCUUGAGCGUCACUUGCAAUCCGCUCGUGAGCAACUUAGCUCUCGACCAAGCACCAGUCUGAUUUUCGUUAGUGGUUCUGGCUAGAUUCGUCUAAAUGUUUUCCAGCAGUGAAGAUUUUCUCUGAUUGCUUUUUCUAACCGGGUUAGAACUCCGGAUUCGGUAGUCUUCCUUAUCACACACUCACUGUGCUUGGAGAGUUUAAUAGCUCUCAAGCAAGCUGCGUGUUUCAGUUUGAGAGCUGCUUAAACUCUUCAUGAGUUGCAAUCCAUAAAUCGCUUGUUGGGGUUCUGAAGCUUCUGGGUGUUUUGCGCUAUUCGACUUCGUAUCCAACGAUGCUGAAGUUGUGCGUCCACAUGUGGUGAGCCAUUUGGCUCCAAAUUUUCUGUGGUAAACAGUCGUGACCUAUUAAGCUUUUACAGCUUGGACACUCCAAACAAUUUGGCACGAACUCUCUCCAAAUUCGGAAGUCUUCCAUCACAUUGUGCGUCAUUCAACUCCACAUCAGGCGAUGCUGAAGCUCUUUCCACAAUUUGCUAACGGAUUCGUAGCGCAAACAAGUUGCCGAAGUUGAGCUUCCACGUGUGGUGAGCCAUUUGGCUCCAAAUUUCGUGUGGUAACCAGUUUUAAUAUAUACUUGAGAUAGUUUGGGCCCUUAUACUAGUUCUUGGCUGAGUCGACUGAUAUAAUCUGCUGGGUUUAGGACUCCAAGUCUGAUAGAAUUCCACCUGGCACUUACUGUUUGCAGAGCUUUCGAAGCUCCUAAGCAAUCUAUGUGAUUCAGUUUUUGUUUGAAAGUUACACGAAAUUUUCAUGCGCCACAUUGCGCCAAUUUUUCUUGUUGUUCAGGUUGAAACAGAUUAACCGCUUGAUGAUUAUUUCUGAAAUGAAUGAGCCAAUUAGCUCCACUGUCACAAAGCUUUCUUCUUUUUAUUCGUGACCAAUUUAGUUUUUAGAGCAUGGACAGUCCAGAUGUGCCACGAACUCUCUCCCAAUUCGGUAGUCUUCCACUACGCCCUCACAGUUUGGAGAGUUUUGUGGCUCCCAAGCAAUCUGAACUUUCAGUAAGCGAGUUGCUAAAGCUCCUCAUGGAUAAUGUUUACGUUUGUUGUGCUGCUGAAGCUUCCGAGUGUUUUGCGUCAAUCGGCACCAUAUCAGGCAAUGUUACUCCUCUUUCCGCAGUACGCUAAUGGAUUCGUAGCGCAAACAAGUUGCCGGAGUUCAGUUUCCACGUGUGGAGAGCCAUUUGGCUCCAAACUGUCACACUGUCGACUGAGUUUUUCUACUGGGUUUAGGGCUACAAGUCUGAUAAACGUACACCUCGCCAUCACUGUUUGCAGAGCUUUCAAAGCUCCUAAGCAUUCAAGUGCGAUCUAGUUUUUGUUUGAAAGUUGCACACAAUUGUCAGCGGAGGAGUCACAAUGCACCGAUGAAUCCUUCUGUUCAGGAACUUCCUUUAUUUCGAAAAGAAACAAUAGCUUGAUGGUGUAUCUGAAAGAAAUGAGCUAUUCAGCUCUUACUGCUUCGUUAGUCUGGAUGUGGCUCGAACGAAAGAUUGUUUUUCCUGACGCUCCAAUUUCUGGUUAGAUCCACCACUCACUUACUGCUAGUUGAGCUGUGAAAGCUCAUGUGCAUUCUGCGCCACGGUGGCGUUCAAUCGCUGCCGGAGUUGAGUUUACAAGCGUGGUGAGCUAUUCGGCUCUUUGUUUUGUGAAGUUAUCGGUAUUACGAUAGUUUUUCUGGUUCGUUGUUCCGCUUCGUUACAAAACUUUUGGGCUGCAGCUGCAGGCUCUUGUAAUCUUCUCGUUGAUUGAGCAGGUUCGCUCUUCUCGAUUGAACCACAGAUUUAGCUGGUAAGUUUUGCAGUGGUUAGGGAGAAUUCUUAUGUUCUGCGUUCAUCACACACUUACUGCUGCUGCUUUUGAGGAUAAACUAUGAAUUUCCUGGUUCCUGUAUGCUUCCAUUUAUCUUCCAAUACUAUUUGCUGGAGAAAUUCCUCCAGAAUGUUUUGAAUUUUUGAAUUCCAGAAGGAAUGCCUGUAAGAAUUUCAAAAAAUAAACCGGUACGAAUUCCUGGAUAAAUUAUGGGAGGGAUACCUAGUGAAAUUUCUGAAGAGAUCUCAUGAGGAAAUCCUAGAAAAAUUUCUGGAGGAUUCCUUGGAGGAAAUUCUGGAGAAAUUCCAGGAGGAAUUCUUGAGUAAAAUUUCAUAAGAAAUGUCUUUAAAAAUUCCUAUAUGAAAUCUUAGAGAAAUUUGUGAAGGAAUCCUUGGAGGAAUGCCUGUAGAAACUUCUGGGCAAAUUCCUGGCGUAAUUCCUGGAAGAAUUCCUGGAGAAUUUCCUUGAGCAAUUUUUUGGGUGAAUUCUUGGAAUCCCUAGGAGAAUUCUGGGAGAAAUUCCUGAAGAAAUUUCCAGAGGAACUCUGGGAGGAAUUGCUGGAGAAAUUUCUGAAAAAAAAAAUCCCUUGAGAAAUUCCAGGAGGAUUUCCUGAAAGAACACUUGGAGGAAUUUCUAGAGGACUGCCUGGUGAAAUCUCUGGAAAUAUCCCUCGAAAAAUUCGUGGAGAAAUCCCUGAAGUAAUUGCUGGAGGAAUCUCUGGAGGAAUCUCUGGAGGAAUCCCUGAAAAUUUCCUCAAUAGUAUUCCUGGAGAAUUUCCUGAAAGAAUCUCUGAAGAAAUCCCAAGAGGAUUCCCAGGAGAAAUUCCUGGACGAAUUGCUGGCAUAAUUCCUGAAGGAUGCCAGGAAUAUUCCGGAAGAAAUUCCUGGGGUAUUUCCUGGAGGUAUUCCGGAAGAAAUUUCCUGGGGAAAUUCCUAGAUAACAUCCCGGAGGAAUAAAUGGAGGAGUUCCUAGUGGUAUUCCUGUGGAAAUUUCUAGAGGAAUCUCUAGAGGAACUCUGGAAAGAAUUACUGGAUGAAUAUCUAGAGGAAUCUCCAGAAGAAUUCUGAGAGAUUCCUGUUUCUAUUUCUGUUAUUUUUCUAUUUUUGAAAGAACUCCUUGAGAGAUUCCUGGAAUUUCUAGUGGAAUCGCAAGUGGAGUUCCUGGAGAAAUUCUCGAAGGAAUUCCUGAAGGAGUCUCAGGGGGUUUCCUUGAAGAAAUUUGUGAAGAAAUCCCUGGAGGAAUAUCUGGAGGAAUCCCUGGUGGAAUACCUGGAGGAAUCCCUGAAAAAUUCCUGAAGGAAUUUCUGGAGAAUAUUCUUGAAGAUUUUUUGAAGAAACCUCUAGAGGAUUUCCUAGAAGAAUCUUUGGAGAAGCUUCUGGAGGAUUUCCUGAAGAGAUUUUUCAUGUAGAAAUCUCUGGAGGAAUCCCUUCAGGAGGGAAAUCCCCUGGAGGAAUAUCUGGAGGAUCAGGAAGCAAUUCCUGAUAAAAUCUCGGGAGAAAUUCCUUGAGAAAUACCUAGAGGAAUUGCUGACUUAAUUUCUGAAAGAUGUCCAGGAGCAAUUCCUGGGGUAGUUCCUGAUGAAAUUACUGGGGUUAUUCCUGGAUAAAAUGCUGGAGGAAUACCUGGAGUAAUUACUAGAGUUAUUUCUUUGGGAAUUUCUGGAGGAAUCUCUAAGAGAAAUUCUUGGAAGAAUUACUGGAUGAAUUUCUAGAGAAAUUCUGGGAGAAUUCUAUUCCUAUUCUAUUAUUUUUCUGUUUCUGAAAUCCUGGAGGAAUUUCUAGCGGAAUUUCUGGAGGAAUUCUUGGAUAAAUCCUUGUAAGAAUGCCUGAAGGAAUCUCUGGAGGAAUCAUAGAAGCAGUUUGUAAAGAAGUCCCUGGGGGAAUCCCUGAAAAAUUACUGAUGGUAUUCCUCCAGGAACUUCCUGGAAGAAUCCAGAAUCCUCUGGAGGAUUUCCUGGAGAAAACCCUGAAAUAUUCCUGAGGGUAUUCCUGGAGAAUUUCUUGGAAGAAUUUCUGAGAAAAUCUCCAGAAGAAUUUCUGCAAAAAAUCCUGGAGAAAUUGUUGACAUAAUUUCUGAACGAUGUUCAGGAGCAAUUCGUGGAUCAAUUCCUAGAGAAAUUUCUGGAGGAAUUCCUGAUGAAAUUCUUGGGGUAAUUCCUGAAAAAUUUCCUGGAAUAGUUCUUGGAGAUAUUCCUGGAUAAAAUCUUGGAGGAAUUGCUGGAGGUUCUCCUUUGGGAAUUGCUGGCGGAAUCCGUGAGGGAAUUUCUGGAGGAAUUCCUUCAACAACUUCUGAAUGAAAUUCUGGGUGAAUCUAUGGAGAAGCUCUGGGAGAAAUUUCUGAAAAAAAUCCCCUGAGAAAUUCACGGAGGGAUUUUAAGAGAAAUCUCUGAAGGAAUUCCGAAAUCUCUGAAAAAAAUCCCUGAAAAUGUUCCUGGACGAGUUUUAGCGGAAUUCCUAGAGAAAUAUCUGUAGUGAUUCCUGGAGGGAAAAGGAAGAUUUCUUGGAGGAUUUUUUGGAAAAAUUCCAGAAGGUAUUCCUAGAAAAAACCCUGGAAGAGUUUCUGAAGCAAUCCCUAAUUUAUGAUGAUGUUCACUGAUUAACUCCUGGUGUAAUUCCUGGAGGAAACCCUGGAAAAUUCUUGAAGGUAUUCCUGGAGAAUAUUCUUGAAGAAUUUCUGAAGAAAUCCCUAGGGGAUUUCCUGGAAGAAUCAUUGGAGAAACCUCUGCAGGAUUUCCUGGAGGAAUCUUCAAAGAAUUUCCUGAAGAGAUUCCAUGGAGAAAUCUCUGGAGGAAUCCCUUAAGCAAUUCCUGAUGGAAUCGCAUGAGAAAUUCCCGGAGAAAUACCUAGAGGAAUUGUUUUUUUUUUUUUUAUCUGUAUUAACGAGAUUUUUAGCCCUAGGCUAGUUCAUCUCGGGACCCACGCUUCACUUCCCUUCCGAAGGAAGAACUCACAUUUUGCGAGUUUGUCGGGAGUGGGAUUCGAUCCCAGGUCUUCGGCGUGAUAGUCAAGUGUUCUAACCAUCACACCAGGUCCGCUCCUCAGAGGAAUUGUUGACAUAAUUUCUGCAAGAUGUCCAGGAGCAAUUCCUAGAGAAAUUCCUGGAGGAAUUCAUGUAGAAAUUCCUGGGGUAAUUCCUAGAUAAGCUCCUGGAGAAAUUCCUGGAUAAAAUCCUGGAGAAAUUCCUAGAGGUAUUCCUUUGGGAAUUUCUGGAGGAAUCUCUAGAAGAAUUUUUGGAAGAAUUACUGGAUGAAUGUCUAGAGGAAUUCUGGGAAAUUUCUAUUUUUAUUCUAUUACUAGCUGUUCCGGCAAACGUCGUUCUGCCUGACUACUGUGUUUUUUUGACAUGCAGCUCUGUAGAAAAAUGCCACGCAAAAUGGAAUUUCAAACUUUCUCGUUUUCGUUGCGUUCGCUGUCGAUUUUCCCAAUUAUUUUUUCGCCGAACACGUCGGAGCACUGCACGAAUGGAACAUUGAAAGAAUGGUAUAGAUCCGUUGGCCCGUUUCCAAGCCUAUUCGUAACAUACAAACACCAUUCCAUUUUUAUUUAUAUAGAUUUUUCUAUUUCUGAAAAAAUCCCUUGAGAAAACCCCGGAGGAAUUUCUAGCGGAAUUUCUGGAGGAAUUCUUGGAUAAAUCCUCGAAGGAAUUCCUGAAGAAAUCCUUGGAGGAAUCCUAGAAGCAGUUUGUAAAGAAAUUCCUGGGGGAAUCCCUGAAAAAAUGCUGAUGGUAUUCCUCCAGGAAUUUCCUGGAAGAAUUUAUGAAGAAAUCCCUAGAGGAAAAUUUCCAGAAGAAUUUCUGGAAAAAAUCCUGGAGAAAUUGUUGACAUAACUUCUGAAGAAUGUCCAGGAGCAAUUCCUGGAUCAAUUCCUAGAGAAAUUGAUCCAGGUAUUCCUGAAGAAAUUCUUGGUGUAAUUCCUGGAGAAUUUCCUAGAAUAGUUCUUGGAGAAAUUCAUAAAUGAAAUCCUGGAGGAAUUGCUGGAGGUUCUCCUUUGGGAAUUGUUGGCGGAAUCCUUGAAGGAAUUCUAGGAGGAAUCUCUGUAGUAAUUCCUUCAACAAUUUGUGGAGUAAUUUCUGGGGGAAUCUCUAGAGGAGUUUUGGGAGAAAUUUCUGAAAAAAACGCCAGAGAAAUUCCCGGAGGAAUUUCUGAAGAAAUCCCUGGAAAAAUUACUAGAAAAGUUCCUGGAGGAGAUUUUAGUGCAAAUCCUGGAGGAAUGCCUGUAGCAAUUCCUGGAGGGAAUACUGGAAGAUUUCUUGGCGGAAUUUCUGGAAAACAUCCAGAAGGUAUUCCUAGAAAAAAUCCUGGAAGAAUUUCUGAAGGAAUCCCUGCAGGAUUUCCUGGGGUAAUUCCUAGAGGAAUUCCUGAAGAAAUUCGUGGAUGAAUCUCUUAGGGAAUUCGUAUAGGAAUACCAGAAAUAAUUCCUCAAGAAAUCGCAGAUGGAGUUCUUGAACAAAUUCGGGAGGAAUCCUUAGAAGAGUUUCUGAAGAAACUCCAGAAGGAAACCCGGAAGAAAUUUCAAGAGGAAUUACUAAGGGAAUCCCUAAGCAGUUCCUGGAGGAAGUACUGAAUCAAUUCCUAGAAAAGUUCAUUAAAAAUACAAUGAGGAAUUGCUGGAGGAACCCUAAAAAUAGUUCGUGGGAGAAUCUUUUGAGGAUGUUUAAAAUAAGUUGUUUCAGAAAGAAUCACAGAAGGAAGUCCCGAGUUAAGUCCUGCAGAAAUUCUUGGAGGAAUCCCUGGGAGAUAUCCUAGAAGAAUACCCGUAGAGAUUAACGGAGGAAUCUCUAGAAAUACUCCUGGAGGAAUUUCUGGAGAAAUAACUAUACGCAUUACAAUUUCCCAGAGGAUACCUGGAAUAAUUCUUAGCGGAAUCUCUGAAGAAAUUCAUGGAGAAUUCCCAGUGAAAAUUUCUGAAGAAAUUGCAGAUGGAAUCUUUGGAGAAAUCCUGAAGGAAUACUAAUAAGAGUUCGUGCAAGAACGCCUUGGGGAAUCCCUGUAGCAGUUCCUGAAGAAACCCCAGGAGAAAUCCUGGGGAAUUCCUAAAUAGUUCCUAGAGGAACUAUUGGAUUAUUUUUUGGAGAACUUCUGAAGCAAUUCUAAAUAGUGUUCCUGGGGGAACCCUUGGAGGAUUUUAUUUAAAUAAUUCCUGGAGUUGUUUCUGAAAUAAACACAGAAGAUAUUCCCGGUCGAAUCCUUGGAGGAAUGCUUUAAGGAAAAUCUGGAGGAGUUCCGGAAGCAAUCCCAUGAUGAAUUCCUUACGAAAUCCCAGGAAAGCUUUCUUAACAAAUUCCUGGAAGAAUUUCUGUAUGAAGGCAUCCUGUAAAAAUGAAGGCAUCCAUGUCUGCAAUAUUUUUUGGAAGAAUUAUUGUUGGAAUUUUUGGAUGGAGAAUGUUUUGUACAAUGAUUUAAGGAACUCCUAGAAAUUUCUGGAGGAAUUAUCGAAAAAAGCACUGGAACAAUCACUGAAGGAACUUCUAAAGAUAUCCCAGGAGGAAUUCCCGGAGGAAUGCCUGGUGAAACCCAUACAGGAAUUCAUGGAAAACUCUCUGGAGCAAUCCAUGCUAGAAUCACUGAAGGAAGCUAUGGAAAAUUCCUGAAGGAAUUCAUCGAUGUAUCCUUGCAGAAGUAUUUGUAAAAAACUGAAGGAAUCGUGGGGGAAUUCUUAAAGCAUUUCUUGGAACAAACCCUAAAAAAAACUAUCUGAACCCUGCAAGAUGUCCAUGGAAGAAUUCACGAAAGAGAAUCUCCUGGAUAUGUUCCUUGAGAAAUUUCUGAAAGAAUCCUUGGAAAAGUUCCUGAAUAACUGCCUAAAGGAAUUUCUGGAGAUGUCCUUGAAAGAAUUUGUUUAGAAAUCCCAGGUAUUAUUAUCUUAGCAUGACGUUUGUUUUAAUUGAAUACAAGUGAAAAUUCGUGUAGCAAUAGCAUAUAACUGCACUCUAUAGCAGCAUAUAAUUCUACAAAGUCCUUGUUUUUUCCUACCGGAAACUUGCCAUACUGUUUUUGUGUUCCAUGAAUACCUAAACAUCACAAAAUUUAACCAUUCAUCCUGUAGGAUAUUGAUUAUGCGUGUUAUUCGGUUGUGUACAAUAAUAACAAUGACGUUUAUUUUCUUCCUCCUGAUUCUCAGCCUACUAUAACAAUAGUUACGAUCUUAGCCUACUACAUCUUUCCCUUUCUUCAAAUAGCAGAACUAUUCUAUUCAGCGAAAUCUUGUAUUGCACAUUUUUUUAUGAUUUUCAAAUCGAAGCCCCGUUGCACUCAUAUAGUGAUAUCAUGGGCUUCCUCCAGAAGAUACUUUCGUCAAUCGUCAAUGUUCGUCCAUUAAGCCUUCCUCUGCGUUUUCCGACAUCCAGCAUAGUUGUGGUUAUCACAAUAGUUGGAAAAUGUCUCCCUUUGAUUCUCCUAUGUACCAUGAUUAACACAGCUUCGGAUUUCGUCAUGAUGGAUUCUUCAAUUGUUCAAACUCACUUUCCUUAUAUGGAAGUUAUCUAAAAUAAACUUCAAGAUACAUUAUACACAUAUUCAUAUACUUUAAAGUUACUAAAUAAUACGCCAAACGAACUGAGCUGGGCUCCUUCAUUUUGGUAUGUAAUCAAAUAAAAUCAUCUUAAAUAGACUAGGAUUCGUAAUCCUCUUCAUUCUUUUUUUUUUCAACUCCAAAUAGACUAGGAUGACUUCAUCCCCUAUAUUUGGUUACAGAAACGGACUAGAACUCACUGAGCUCCCUACGUUUCUUGCUAGGAAUGGACUAGGAUUUGUAAUCCCCUACAUUCCAUUUUUUCUACUCCAAAUAGACUAGGAUGACUUCAUCCCCUAUAUUUGGUUACAGAAACGGACUAGAACUUUUCGAAAGUUCCCUACGUUUCAUGCUAGGAAUGGACUAGGAUUCGUGAUCCCCUACAUUCCAUUACUUUUUUUCUUCUUCGAACUCCAAAUAGACUAGGAUAACUUUAUCCCCUAUAUUUGGAUUCAGAAACGGACUAGAACUCCCUGAGCUCCCUACGUUUCUUGAAAGGAAUGGACUAGGAUUUGUUAUCCCCUACAUUCUAUUUUACCUACUCGAAGUAGACUACGGUGCAUUUAUCUAUAUAUACAAAAAUGAAUAACAUUCAGGAAACCACGAUUGUCUGGAAUCCUCCAUUCAUUUGGUUGUUCUGUUCUGUUGAUGUACUUAACCCUCUACGCACUGCGAUGGUCUAGUGUACGUUCAGCGUGCCUGUCUAGAUCAUAUAUACCCAAACAUCCUACUAGGGUUAAACGUUUAAUUCACGCUGUAGUUCGCCAAUCUGAUGAAAACUAGUUUACUGCAUUAAGUUAUCUUUCAACAUGUCGUAUCUCGACAUUUCACAACUCGAAGUUCUCUUUAUCUCUACAUGUCGAUGUCCCUUUAUUUCGAUAUCUUAAUAUUCAAACCAUCCGGUAAAAGCAAAGCGAUCUUUUGUUCUUACGAAUCUUCUCGGUUACGAAAGCUUGCUAUUAAAAGCAUUGAUCAAAAUUGUACUUCGUCUCAAGAUCUCCCAGUCUCAACGGUUUUUUUUUCGUGAUGUCAAUCAUAU
Molecule: long non-coding RNA, 22028 nt
Organism: Aedes albopictus (Asian tiger mosquito)
Lineage: Eukaryota; Metazoa; Arthropoda; Insecta; Diptera; Culicidae
Exons: 2
Source: RefSeq, a predicted model, not a curated record